RNAcentral lists this ribosomal RNA (484 nucleotides) under uncultured Burkholderia sp. RNAcentral describes it as "partial 16S ribosomal RNA". It matches the Rfam family "Bacterial small subunit ribosomal RNA", at positions 399 to 877 of the family's 1533-position model. The record is from RNAcentral. Lineage: Bacteria; Pseudomonadati; Pseudomonadota; Betaproteobacteria; Burkholderiales; Burkholderiaceae.
GCGUGUGUGACAAGACGCCUUUGGUCUUGUAAAGCUCUUAUGUCCGGAGAGAAAUAAUUUUGUUUAAUCCGGGGGGAUAAUGGCGGUACCGGAAGAAAAAGCCCCGGCUAACUUCGUCCCAGCAGCCGCGGUAAUACGAAGGGGGCGAGCGUUAUUCGGAAUUACUGGGUGUAAAGCGUGCGCAGGCGGUUUUUUAAGUCAGAUGUGAAAUCCCCGGGCUCAACCUGGGAAUUGCAUUUGUGACUGCCAGUCUAGAGUACGGCAGAGGGGGGUGGAAUUCCGCGUGUAGCGGUGAAAUGCGUAGAUAUGGGGAGGAACCCCGAUGGCGAAGGCACCCCCCUGGGCCAACACUGACGCUCAUGCAAAAAAGCGUGGGGAGCAAACAGGAUUAGAUCCCCUGGUAGUCCACGCCAAAAAAUAUGUCAUAAAGUUGUUGGGAAUUCGCAGUUCAGUGUCGCAGCUAACGCGUAAGUGUCCGCCUGGG